Long non-coding RNA from Lagenorhynchus albirostris (white-beaked dolphin), 590 nucleotides. RefSeq lists it as uncharacterized. NCBI's taxonomy places the organism in Eukaryota, Metazoa, Chordata, Mammalia, Artiodactyla, Delphinidae. The record is from RefSeq and is a predicted model, not a curated record. The transcript has 2 exons.
GGUUGCCAAUUUCAUGGACGGUAAUCAGAAGACAUGAGACUCCCGGGUCAGAGACAAGGACUUUAUGACUCAUGGUGCAGCAGGCAGCUUGAGCAAACGUUUGCUGAGUUUGCACCCCCAAAUCCCACGGGGAGGUGUGUGUGUGCAGUGGACAGGAGCCUUGAAUUUGGAGAGCCUGAUCUAAGAACAGUAAGAAUGUCUUCCCUUUGUUCUAGAAGGAGACACUGUAUCUUCCAUGCUGAUUGCCAUUCAAAUACCCUGUUUGCUGUUCAGAUUUCCCUCAGCUGGAAAGAUGUACCCAAAUCCCAGAGACACAUGGAGAAUGAUCUUUCAAUAAUAUGGACUGUGACACUCAUUUACACGAUUGUCAGGAGUAUGGAUUUUGACGGAACACUGCCGAGUCUGUCUCCAGGAAUUGCCUAUGGCCAAAUAAAGCCGCCCUGUGUCCACGGGGGACAUCUCUGAAGGGUCAUGGAGACGACCCCAGGUUCAGAGGUCCUAUACAUUAGUAUUUCUGCUGUUUGAUUAAUUCUGGUAUUUAUGCUGCACUUAUAUUUCUAUUGUUUGAUAAAAGAUUCUGUAUUUAUGAA